AUACUCUGGUUUCUCUUCAAAUCGUAUAAAUCUUUCGCCUUUUACUAAAGAUUUCCGUGGAGAGGAACAAACCUGAGUUUUUAACCAAUUUUUUGAGGCCUUGCUUAAUGCAAGGCU
This 117-nucleotide small nuclear RNA is filed under the name Loxodonta africana (African savanna elephant). RNAcentral's name for it is "U5 spliceosomal RNA (ENSLAFG00000027366.1)". It matches the Rfam family "U5 spliceosomal RNA". From Rfam's summary of the family: U5 RNA is a component of both types of known spliceosome. The precise function of this molecule is unknown, though it is known that the 5' loop is required for splice site selection and p220 binding, and that both the 3' stem-loop and the Sm site are important for Sm protein binding and cap methylation. The record is from Rfam by way of RNAcentral. Lineage: Eukaryota; Metazoa; Chordata; Mammalia; Proboscidea; Elephantidae.